This is a non-coding RNA of Petromyzon marinus (sea lamprey), 6462 nucleotides long. NCBI's taxonomy places the organism in Eukaryota, Metazoa, Chordata, Hyperoartia, Petromyzontiformes, Petromyzontidae. The record is from RefSeq and is a predicted model, not a curated record.
GCGGACAGGCCCCACUCGCCGCGGAGUGACGUCACUUUCCGGGCUGUCGCAAGCGCGAACGACGCCGCUUGAGGGGCGUUGGCUCGCCCCUACAAAACGCGCGCGGGUCCAUCCGUCGGCAUCGGUCGCGAUAGGGCGACGAAGCGGCCUCCAAACGCGUCCACAUCGGCGACAACCGUGAGAAUGACUCUUCAUCUUCAAAAGAUGCUUUUCCCCAUGCUAUUUUGCGUUCUUCUUGGAGCUCUUCAUGUCACUGCACAAGCUGGAUGUGGACCACCACCAAGAGUAAACAAUGGACGACCCGAUUCGACGAAUACAUUUUUUCCUGUGAAUGAUAUGGUGCGGUACCAGUGCAAUUCUGGUUACGCUGCAACAAAAAACUCUUCAUUACGUCUGCAGUGCGUGGCCAAUGGGACUUGGGGAGAGCUAAACUACUGGUGCGAGCGUAAGACAUGUUCUCCAAAACCUAUUGACCAAGGCUCUUACACUGGCGGAAUCUCUUUUGGAGAUACGAUUACGUAUACGUGUGAUGAUGGGUAUGCGCUCACAGGAAAAACAUACCAACUAACAUGCAUGGCUGAUGGGACUUGGAAUCCAGUGGAUCCACCAGAUUGCCAGCCUGUCUCGUGUCCUGAGAUAGAUCUUACUGAGAAAUUGGUGUUUCAGCUAUCACUCCAAUAUCAAUACGGAUCAAGGGUUACUUAUAGUUGUGAGGCUGGCUUCUCGCUUAUAGGAGACUCAUUUCGGGACUGCUUGGAGAGUGGCAAAUGGUCUGGAUCCAAGCCCAUCUGUAAAGAUGUUAAGUGCAAGACACCUCAAUGGGACAUCAGCCACGGCCAAGCGAUGGGUGAACGUAAAGAAGCUUACAAGUACAACGAUAUUGUGAGAUACGAAUGUUCAGCAAGAUAUCGGGCUGAACCAAGUGAAAUCCACUGCACCGAGAGCAACGAGUGGUCUGCCACGGUCAACUGUGUCUUGACUGGCUGCCACAGCCCUCCUCUGAUUGGCAAUGGUGACGUGGUGCAACCGAAGUCGGAGUAUGCCAUGGGUGACUCGGCGUCCUACAAAUGUCGCAAAGGCUAUCGGUUAGAGGGCAGUGAAACGGCUGUUUGUAGGGAAAACUAUCAGUGGACACAGCCUCCAACGUGUGCAUCGGUCACAUGUGGCCCUCCAGCCACAGUCAUCAAUGGCAAAAUAAAGGAACAAGCAAAGACUCCGUAUGCAUAUGGAGACAGAGUGUCAUACAUCUGCGAUGACACUUACCAUCUGGUGGGAAAUGGUGAAAUUACUUGCCAAAACAAUGGGCAGUGGUCACCUUCACCUAGCUGUGCGUUAAGAACAACAUCUCUUCCGCGCACGGAAGAUCCGCUUCAGUGUUCGUGUGACAAACCCCCUGCGAUUGAACACGGAGAAGGAAAUGACAAAUACAAGUCUGUAUAUGCUUGUGGAUAUACAUUAUCGUACAAGUGCAAGACAUGUUACUUCCCAGUUCACUCUGAAAUUACUUGCCAACAGAACGGGCAGUGGUCACAUUCGCCUGGCUGUGUGUUUAAUGCUACUUGCGUUAUUGUCCCUGUCGUUAUUAUUGUAGCCCUCAUUGGUGCGAUGCUUGCAUUUGCAUUCUUCAAGAAAAUUGCGUGUUUUGCACCAAGUGGAAGCAAAACCAUAAAUGACCCUAGGAAGAAUGAAAACGAAAUCCCUCUUAAUGAUACUAUGUCGUUGAAGCCUAACGAUGCAUGAGAGGUCACAUGGAGCAUGCAGGUAACCGAGUGCUUUGUGUUCGCGCUGGGGUUGGAAACCCACGGCUUUGAGGUCUACCAUUUAGAAACGGCCCACAAACAAUAUCCGUCACUAAGUGUUUGAGCCACACUUGUCGAGUGCUAGAGCAAAAUGUACGCAUAUAUCGGAACUGGCAAAACUGUAAUAUAAUUUUAGUGUCCUUAGUCACUUGUCAUUUCAAGAGCCUCCAACACACUGGUGUGCUGUACUCGUGACGAAUUGGCAUGUUCUGUUUACGUGACCACCAUUAAUAGUUGGCUGUGUCGGGUGGUGGCGGGUUUUAACGACACAUUUAUGUAUUUACACGAUCUAACCCAAAAAUGCUCUUAUGGUUUCUGUUACUGUUAUGUAUGCAUGUGGCUAUGCGUGUGAUCUUCAUGAACAGUCGCAAAUUGUGAAUCUGUCUGCCCAAUUUCAACUGAGAAUCAUACUGAUUGUAAUGAGGAAUGACUUGAAAUAUUUAAUUUUAACAUUUUCAUAUUGAAGGGUUAGAUUAAAGGAUUAUUAAUAUAAAAUUUGCAAUAUUAAUAGUAUAAUUCUACAGUUUUGUAAGUGGAUAUGAUAAAACACAUGUAAAGAAAGACAUUAAAUGUAAGAAAUUUGUCUCUUCUGACAAUGCAUGGCAGGAUGCAGAUGUUAAUGUUAUAAUGUUGAUACAUGUUAAAGAAAAGCUAUUAAAACCAAGCAAAGCCCAGUGAUAUAUUUGCUUGAGAGGAUGGUAACAUCUGGGAAACAUGAAUGUGUGUUAAUUAUUAUUGGCAAUCAUUCCAUACAUUAACGACCAAAUAAGCCGAGGCUUAAGGAAUGUUCGUGUGAAAUUAGGCGGCUGGGUAGCCCAGCAAGACCCCACGAUGGUCAAUUUGCUCAUUAACCACACACCAAGCACACUACCUGCUGUAAAGAUAAACUUGUCUAGAACAAAAUGGUGAAAAGAAGCCUGUCCCUGCACAAUUACAAUCACCAUACUCUGCCUUGCAAAGAGGAUCAUAGGAAUCAAUUGGCUUCAUCUAAUGGGAAUUGAUAUUAUUGCCGUAUUUUCAACAAUUAUUUUUCUGGGUUUUUUUGUCUUUGUGAAUGAGCAAUAACAUUUUUUUUGUAAUACAUAUGUUUUAAUAUUUAAAUCGUGUACUGUUUGCACGUGUAUUGCCUCUUCUCAAUCCAACAGAUGAAUGCGUGUUCUGAAAAAAAAUUCUUCUACAGAUCUGGAAUGAAGACCUUUUGUAUAGUAAAGAAAAUUAAUAUUAAUAUAAGGACUGAAUAGGGUCCUUAUUUUCACAUUGGUCUUAUUUAAUGUUAUUUGUUCAGCAGAUGUAAGCGGAACUUGUGGAUAAAAAAAUCUUGCCUUCUAAAUGAUUUUUAGCACUGAAAGCCUUAUUUAAUCAGUAUUGUAAAAUAAAACCAACUUUAUUUGGUAAAGGUAAUUUAAGAAUGCACUUGUCCAUAAAAUAAUGUUAUUUUUGACUGCUAAAGCUGCGUGUGAUGCGCCCAUUUCUUUAAAAGUAAAAAAAAAUCAUUUUCUAAAAUGUGGUGAAUUGGAGAGCAUUUCCAUUGUUACCAGCACCAUAUAGUAUUUAAUUGAAGCACCUUUUAUAAUCGCUCUAAAUAACUGUUGUGUUGCUUUGAGUCUUUACAAAAAAACCCUCUGCUUUGCCCAUCACGACCAUCAACCUGGCAUUGCGUUGUCUUGUUGGUGCAAGCUUCUCCGCCAAUUAUUAUUACCUCGUGCCAGCUUUGUCCAUUUGAAAACCCUUACCACCCUGGCAUUGGAACAUCCCACCCAACCGGCACAUACACAUGUGCCAGUUCUGAAUUCAGAUUCUGGGACCAGCGCGCAUUUGUUUAUGCAAUGAUGCAUUCGAUUAAACAUCGGCAAGAUUUUGGUGUCUGCUCGGCCGCUUUUUUUUUUAAGCCAAAGAAAUGUUUCGGAUGUUUAGUUGUUGGACCCCCCGAAGGUGAUGAUGAUGCCGCCAAUCGACUUAAACCCUUACUCCCACCUUCAGAUAAAAAAAAAACGCUUCUGUAAAAAGCUGAGUUAUGGAGGGACAAAUCCCAUGUUACAUUUGACCACAACAGUUACCCAACUUGAAAUGUCCAGGAGCGGUUUGGAUGAUGACUCGCUGUAAUUCGGAGUGGAGCUCGUGCCUGAUUGGAACUUGGUUUAGACCAAGGGAUCAUUGGAAAAAGAAAGUAAAUUAGGUUCAGUAAAUGCCAAUAAAUGUGUGCAAUUAAAAUACAUUUUGCUGGAUAUUGUACACCAAUCCCUGAGAAAUUGACCCUGAUCUUGUAUUUAUCCUUAGCUCUUACACUCUUAAUAAAACAAUGUUUGUAUUUCCAUUCUGUAACCUUAGCUUUGUGUCUAAAACGAGUAGGAACUCACUCCUAAUCCUUAAAUAAACAUUUGUUUUGCUUCUAACCACCACAAAUCACCGUGAUUUCUGAGGACGUAAGUUUCCAAAACAAUGAAUUCUGUCAAUAUUUAAGAAUUACAACGUUCUUUUGAAAAGCCUAACAGCAUGUGAGGGUUGUUUGAGUAACAGUUAUCACCACUAGUGGUGCAUGUUAAUGCUGCAAUGUACGACCUGCUUGCAGUCACGACUGGUAUUUGUUGAAGUAAGUGAUUGUGGACGUGUAUAAUAAGUACGCUGCUUUCCCUAUGUUGCCUGUCGUAUUAUAUUAAAAAAAAAUCACGUUUCAGUGCAGUGAGUAUUCCCUCUGGUUUCCCAUCCUUGAUGUAGAUUGAGAGCAAUCUCUCCCAAUGUGCUUGUUGGCAUGUCAAUUUGCCUUGUUGCGCAUGGCUGUUUGCCUCUCCAUCAGUAUUUUUGCACAGUCCUGGUGAGAUCAACGACCGUUGCUGACUAUGUCAGUGGCCAGGAACGCUUAUCCAAACACAAGAUUACAGCAAAUACGUAAUUACUUUUGAAUUUACGUGUUAUGAAUCUAAUUAGGAAGCCCCCUUUCACCGUUGAGCCAAUCCAAUGGUGAUUUUCUUUGCCAAGCUGUGUAUUGAGCAUUUAUUUUCUCUUGCUUUUGCCACACACGAUCGAGGUAAUCGUGCCUCAUGUUCGCAUUUUAUAUUUUGUUUGCCUUUCCAUCUUCUGACUCCGGUUGAACACAUUACGAAGGAUCAGUGACGACUACAUUUGGUCGAUUAAUUAUAUAAAGAAAUGCUCAACAUGCAGCCUACCUCAGAAAACCACAUUUAUAAAUGACAAGCACGUUACCUACGACAUUAAAACAACGUCCUUCAUAAAUGCUUCUGCAAGCGUGUUUUGCCGUCUUAAUUUUAACGGCAAAUAUUGGUUUAUGCAGACUUAAAUUGCCAAAUGUUUCAGUAUACUCCCAAAUGGCUUCAUUUGUAAAGGUGGAAAUCGUCAUACCCACCUCCGUCUCCCAACCCCAAAAAUCACAUUUGACUGGACCCUCUGGAAAGUGCCACAGGAGUUGAAUGGAUUCUGCGUUACCCUUACAGGCCACUCUGCUUCUCUCCAAACAUUUUCUCCCAGCUGUGCAAAAAAAAAACAAUGGAAUACCAUUCACAAAGACUGUAAAUAAAAAAAAAAUUGCCUUGGGAUACUUUUUUUAUUACAUUAUUUUAUCACCAUUGUAGGACGUGUGAUUAGACUCCGCAAUGUUUCAUGACUGCUAUAUCUGUGUGUGUUUUGUAAUGUGGCUAUUGCACCGGGUCUCGUGGUGUUGAACUAUCGUGCUGCAUGUGAUGGCUGGAAAUGGUAGUUUGCCUGCAGAGGAAAUGUGAUCUGUUUGGCACAAGCCAGACAUUGGAGUGGAUACAAUGAAACCGCUAAAUUGCUUUGUAUAGAAUUGGUAAAGUUGGAAUCUGGUCAUUGAUUUCUUAAAAUGUAAUCUACUGAGCACUGUAGUUGUAGCACUUAUAUUAAAAUAUUUUGUAUUCAUCGGCAGAUGAAUGAUUUGUAUUGACAUGUUGCCCGUUUUUUUUCUGUUUGGCUGCUGUUUUACUUACGAGAACGCAAGUUAGCUAUAAUGGUAUCGGCACUGCAAAGAAAGUUAAGAUUUGGACCUUGCUUAGAUUCAGAUUUGGGUCCUAUACAUAUUCCCCCCUUAAGUCUGCUUGGAUAUAUGUGCAGUAAGGUUAUUCAAAUUCAUUUCUAAGACAACCCUGAUCUUAAAUCAGGUGAUAAUAGUGUUAAUAUUAUGAACUUUUUAAAGGCAUUUAUUUUAUAAAGGAAAUGAUGGAUACUCAAAUUAAAAUAAAUGAGUGACAACUUGCCGACAGGGGCGAUAUGAAGGGUAUAAUAUACACAUCUUGUUUAAAUAGACAUCGGAGAAAAUGCCUUUGAAAAUUACUAAGAGUACAUCUAAAUUAGAACAAAGAACUGCAUGUAAACUGAGAACGGUUCCAUCAAUUGUGAACGCGUGGAUUUGUAGUGAAGCUCGUGAUGAUGGGGUUUUUAGGUCAAAGCGCAGUGUUGAAGGGUGACGUUUGCGAGUGCUUUGUGUUGAAUCUGUUGAGCUUUUGUGAUAUAUACUGCAGAAGUUGGGGUUUCAAUUGCUGGCGGUUGCUGGUGGGUUUUAUGGCCUAAAUCCCUAAAACACAUUUGUUAAGUGAUAAUUGUUAACAGCACAAUACUCUGGAGAAGACGUACCAUAGGUUUUGCUGCCUGCCUUUGCACUGGGCAACAUUAAAGACACCACGUGAUAUCUGUC